AUACGGAGGGUGCAAGCGUUGUUCGGAAUUACUGGGCGUAAAGCGCGCGUAGGUGGUCUGUUAUGUCAGAUGUGAAAGUCCACGGCUCAACCGUGGAAGUGCAUUUGAAACUGGCAGACUUGAGUACUGGAGGGGGUGGUGGAAUUCCCGGUGUAGAGGUGAAAUUCGUAGAUAUCGGGAGGAAUACCGGUGGCGAAGGCGACCACCUGGCCAGAUACUGACGCUGAGGUGCGAAAGCGUGGGUAGCAAACAGGAUUAGAAACCCUAGUAGUCC
RNAcentral lists this ribosomal RNA (274 nucleotides) under uncultured bacterium. RNAcentral's name for it is "partial 16S ribosomal RNA". It matches the Rfam family "Bacterial small subunit ribosomal RNA", at positions 523 to 796 of the family's 1533-position model. The record is from RNAcentral.